AUACGGAAGGUCCGGGCGUUAUCCGGAUUUAUUGGGUUUAAAGGGAGCGCAGGCGGAGAUGCAAGCGUGACGUCAAAUUUCGGGGCUCAACCCCGUCUCGCGUCGCGAACUGCGUCCCUUGGUUGCGGGAAGGGGAGGCGGAACUCGUGGUGUAGCGGUGAAAUGCAUAGAUAUCACGAAGAACUCCGAUCGCGAAGGCAGCCUUCCGGCCCGUCAACGACGCUCAUGCUCGAAGGUGCGGGUAUCAAACAGGAGUAGAUACCCUGGUAGUCCGUACAGUAAACGGUGGACACCCGCGGUUUGGCCUGUAUGGCUGAGCCGCCAAGCGAAAGCGUUAAGUGUCCCACCUGGGGAGUACGCCGGCAACGGUGAAACUCAAAUGAAUUGACGGGG
Molecule: ribosomal RNA, 393 nt
Filed under: uncultured bacterium
Lineage: Bacteria
Description: partial 16S ribosomal RNA
Rfam family: Bacterial small subunit ribosomal RNA
Source: RNAcentral